Molecule: long non-coding RNA, 3110 nt
Filed under: Brassica napus (rape)
Lineage: Eukaryota; Viridiplantae; Streptophyta; Magnoliopsida; Brassicales; Brassicaceae
Description: long non-coding RNA (BNAP_LNC002934)
Rfam family: Small nucleolar RNA Z247 (bases 1289-1427)
Source: RNAcentral
ACUUUACUCGAUAUUGCUGGAUGUACCCUCUCAAAGCCAAAUCUGAGGUUAAAAACCAUUUCAUAGCCUUCAAAGCUCUUGUUGAAACCCGAUUCCAAACCAAAAUUCAAACCCUAUACUCAGAUAAUGGGGGUGAAUAUCUUGCUCUCCGAGCUUUCCUUUCAGCCAAUGGUAUAUCACACCUAACUACACCUCCGCAUACACCCGAACACAAUGGCCUCUCUGAGAGGAAACACAGGCAUAUUGUCGAAAUGGGUCUCUCGUUACUCACAGCAGCAAACAUUCCUCUUUCAUACUGGCCAUAUGCCUUUGCUGCUGCUGUCUUUCUCAUCAACCACCUUCCUACUCCUGUCCUCUCUAAUACUUCACCAUACCAAAAGCUCUUCAAAACCACUCCUAACUAUCAAAAGCUAAGAACUUUUGGCUGUCUUUGCUUCCCCUGGCUUCGCCCCUAUGCACCAAACAAACUCCAAAACAGAUCCAUUCCGUGUGUUUUCAUAGGCUACUCUCUCACUCAAAGUGCCUAUCUCUGCUUUGACCCAACCUCUGGCCGAAUCUAUACAUCUCGCCAUGUGAGAUUCAAUGAGACUCAAUUUCCCUUCUCUACCUUAACUAAACCAAAACCCCAAUCGGAAACUCAAUCAUCAGCUCCACCAUCGCAUCCUCCUGUUACUAUUAUCCCAACCUCAUCACCACUCAUACAUUUGUCUUCUCCGGCUGCGAGUGAUCCUACUCCGGGUUCAGGCACGUCACCUCCACCGCAACACACCACUGAAUCCUCUGCAUCAGCAUCAACUCUUUCCCUGCGACGGAAGCCAUCGUUGUCAACAACAACAACACAAACACAAUUCUGCAUAUCAACAUGGCGAAUGUUACUAAGCUUACAGCUUCCAAUUUCUUGAUGUGGAGUAGGCAGAUUCAUGCUCUCCUUGAUGGAUAUGAUCUAGCCAGUCAUAUUGAUGAAUCUAUUCCACCACCUCCCGCCAUGAUCACAACUGAGACUGGUGCUGCAACCAACCCUGCGUACACUCUGUGGAAACGUCAAGACAGGCUCAUCUAUAGCGCUAUCUUGGGUGCUAUCUCAGUCACUCUUCAGCCGAUCCUCUCCACCGCGACAACCUCGGCGCAGAUCUGGAGCACUCUCCACCUUACCUAUGCUAAACCAAGCAGAGGUCAUAUUCAGCAGAUCAAACAGCAACUUAAAAGUUGGACAAAAGGAACUAAAACAAUCAACGAGUACUACCAGGGUUUCAUCACUCGUUUUGAUGAACUUGCUCUCUUAGGAAAGCCUUGUGAUCAUGAGGAUCAGAUUGAACAGAUCCUUGCUGGCUUGCCUGAGGACUACAAGAACCUUGUGGAUCAGAUUGAAGGAAGAGAUGUGGCGCCGUCUCUCACUGAACUUCAUGAGAAGUUGAUCAACUUCGAAACAAAGCUACAAGCUGCCACUCCGGUGAUCUCCACAGUACCGGUCACUGCCAACUUCUCUAACUAUCGUGGGAACUCUAGCAACCAAAAUAACAGAGGAAACCACAACUCCAAGCGCGGAGGAUACCGUGGGCCACAAACAUGGCAGCAACAACAACAGUUCGGUCCAACUUCGAACUCCAACACUUCAAGAGGAUAUCAAGGGAAGUGUCAGCUGUGUGGUGUCUUUGGUCACAGUGCACGUCGCUGCACUCAACUCUCGAGCAUGAGUCAAGCACAACCGAACAUGCUGCAGCAGACGCAAGUGUCUCCAUGGCAACCACGAGCCAAUGUCGGAACCUUCACUCCGUACAAUCCUCAGCAAUGGCUUCUGGAUAGUGGUGCGACGCAUCAUCUCACGUCAGACCUCAACAACUUAGCACUGCAUCAGCCUUACAAUGGUGGCGAAGAGGUCGCGAUUGCAGACGGCACUGGUCUCGCUAUCACCCACACCGGUUCUGCUUCUAUCUCCACGCCAACUAAACCUUUGCUUCUCAAUGAUGUGCUUUGUGUACCUCAUGUGAACAAAAAUCUUCUGUCUGUCUAUAGAUUAUGCAAUGCUAAUCAAGUGUGUGUUGCUUUCUAUCCUUCUUAUUUUCAGGUGAUGGAUGUCAACUCGGGGGACCGGUUGCUGCAAGGCCGCGCGAGGAAUGAAUUGUAUGAGUGGCCGGUGUCUCCUACCCUAAACCCUGCUUCCUACGCUACCUAUCCAGACACCAAAGCCACCCUAGCUCAAUGGCAUACACGCCUGGGCCACCCUUCUUUAUCUACUUUAAAAUCUGUUGUUUCAAAAUUUUCUUUGCCUUGCUCAAAUGCUUCAUCUUUUGUUCCUCCUUGCAAUGAUUGCUUACUUAAUAAAAUUCAUAAGCUUCCCUUUCAUCAAAGUUCCAUUCAAUCUUCUCAACCUCUGCAAUACAUAUUUUCUGAUGUAUGGCAAUCACCAGUACUCUCUUCUCAAAACUACAAAUACUACUUAGUACUGGUUGAUCACUUUACUCGAUAUUGCUGGAUGUACCCUCUCAAAGCCAAAUCUGAGGUUAAAAACCAUUUCAUAGCCUUCAAAGCUCUUGUUGAAACCCGAUUCCAAACCAAAAUUCAAACCCUAUACUCAGAUAAUGGGGGUGAAUAUCUUGCUCUCCGAGCUUUCCUUUCAGCCAAUGGUAUAUCACACCUAACUACACCUCCGCAUACACCCGAACACAAUGGCCUCUCUGAGAGGAAACACAGGCAUAUUGUCGAAAUGGGUCUCUCGUUACUCACAGCAGCAAACAUUCCUCUUUCAUACUGGCCAUAUGCCUUUGCUGCUGCUGUCUUUCUCAUCAACCACCUUCCUACUCCUGUCCUCUCUAAUACUUCACCAUACCAAAAGCUCUUCAAAACCACUCCUAACUAUCAAAAGCUAAGAACUUUUGGCUGUCUUUGCUUCCCCUGGCUUCGCCCCUAUGCACCAAACAAACUCCAAAACAGAUCCAUUCCGUGUGUUUUCAUAGGCUACUCUCUCACUCAAAGUGCCUAUCUCUGCUUUGACCCAACCUCUGGCCGAAUCUAUACAUCUCGCCAUGUGAGAUUCAAUGAGACUCAAUUUCCCUUCUCUACCUUAACUAAACCAAAACCCCAAUCGGAAACUCAAUCAUCAGCUCCACCAU